Molecule: non-coding RNA, 125 nt
Organism: Triticum aestivum (bread wheat)
Lineage: Eukaryota; Viridiplantae; Streptophyta; Magnoliopsida; Poales; Poaceae
Source: Rfam
AUGUUACUCCCUCCGUCCGGAAAUAUUCGUCAAAGAGAUGGAUGUAUCUAGAUGUAUUUUUAUUCUAGAUGCAUCCAUUUUCAUCCAUUUCUACGACAAGUAUUUCCGGACGGAGGGAGUAUAUC